GACGAACGCUGGCGGCGUGCUUAACACAUGCAAGUCGAACGGUGAAGCGCCUUCCUUUUUGGUGGGUGUGGAUGAGUGGCGAACGGGUGAGUAACACGUGAGUAACCUGCCCCCUUCUUCUGGAUAACCGCAUGAAAGUGUGGCUAAUACGGGAUAUUCUGGGUCUGUCGCAUGAUGGGUCUGGGAAAGAUAUUGUUUCGGUGGGGGAUGGGCUCGCGGCCUAUCAGCUUGUUGGUGGGGUGAUGGCCUACCAAGGCGGUGACGGGUAGCCGGCCUGAGAGGGUGGACGGUCACACUGGGACUGAGACACGGCCCAGACUCCUACGGGAGGCAGCAGGGGGGAAUAUUGCACAAUGGGCGCAAGCCUGAUGCAGCGACGCCGCGGGAGGGAUGGAGGCCUGCGGGUUGUGAACCUCUUUCGCCAGUGAAGCAGGCCUGCCUCGUUUGUGGGUGGGUUGACGGUAGCUGGAUAAGAAGCGCCGGCUAACUACGUG
This 494-nucleotide ribosomal RNA is filed under the name uncultured bacterium. RNAcentral's name for it is "partial 16S ribosomal RNA". It matches the Rfam family "Bacterial small subunit ribosomal RNA", at positions 28 to 507 of the family's 1533-position model. The record is from RNAcentral.